Molecule: transfer RNA, 75 nt
Filed under: Dokdonella fugitiva
Lineage: Bacteria; Pseudomonadati; Pseudomonadota; Gammaproteobacteria; Lysobacterales; Rhodanobacteraceae
Also listed under: 18 other names
Description: tRNA-Gln
Rfam family: tRNA
About the family: Transfer RNA (tRNA) molecules are approximately 80 nucleotides in length. Their secondary structure includes four short double-helical elements and three loops (D, anti-codon, and T loops).
Source: RNAcentral
UGGGGCGUCGCCAAGUGGUAAGGCACCGGGUUUUGAUCCCGGCAUUCGCAGGUUCGAAUCCUGCCGCCCCAGCCA